GCUGCGUGGGCGGGGAAGAGCGGCUGUAGGUGUAACCAGCGGCUCCCGUUACGUGAAGUAGUGAAGUGUCGGCACUCUUCCCACCCCAGCUUUCGGUGCCCCCUCGGUUUGCAGUCGGGCUCUCAGGCCCAGAAAGGGAAAGACAUGCCCAGGCCUCUCACUGAUGUGGCCUCUCCCGUUGCGGAGCACAGGCUCCGGACGCGCAGGCUCAGCGGCCAUGGCUCACGGGCCCAGCCGCUCCGCAGCAUGCGGGAUCCUCCGGACCGGGGCAUGAACCCGUGCCCCCCACAUCAGCAGGCGGACUCUCAACCACUGCGCCACCAGGGAAGCCCUCUAAUGAUCUUUGAAUUCUGUUGUUUCAUUGUAUAAUUCUGUGUUUGCAAGAAGGGAUUUCCUGACGUAGCACUGAUUCUUUCUUCAGGACUCACAUAUACUGUAGGCCUCUUGAGAAGAAAUGAAGCCAGAAUCCACAGAUGUCAUGAUCCAUCUGCACGCUUUUGUUUACUACCCAGAAGGCAAGACUAUUGCAUUUUAAAAGUGUCCAGACUUUUGUUCUUUCUUAUCACAAAUGACUUGAGAAGAUCUGACCAUUCACAGUUACCCUGAGUGGAAGUGCCAAAGACUUGCUUCCUGGAGUGCUUUGAGAUUCAGGUACAAAAGGCAUUUUAUAAGCACAGAGUGAAAAAGCAUCCUUUAUAUUCAUUUGCUGCUGUGGCAUUUCUCUCUGGAAUCUUCCUCGUGUCUGUCAACAUUGUGCAAAAGGACUGGCCUCAUCUACAUUACAAAUCUCUCUCCUUUAAUGGUCUGGAAGUGGGAAAGGGACUGCAUAAGAGUGAGCUCUCAUGUUGGAGGGUCUCCUGCUUGUUUAUCCCUAAAACUGGUUGGACAUGAUCGCUGUGGAUGUCAUGAAUUGUUUUGGAAAGACCCGAGUGUGAACUCAGGACAGUGCUUUGUGCAUCUGGGUUGCAGUGAAUGUGUAUUAUCUGACUUCAGUGACUCAUGGGAGAAUCACAGCCAUGGGGAAGAGCUGCUGAGGGGUCAUUUAGAAAGGAGCCAUUCUGGGCGGACGGUGCUCAGUUCUCUACUAGCUGCCGGAGUGGAGAAACGUCCAUCAUGAUGGCUCCUUUGACCCGUGGCAGAUCCUUUCUUGCAGGGGCCCUGCUUGGUAUGAUUUAAGAAGCAUCAAGGACUUUCUGCCCCAGAAGUUCUCAGUGUGUGACGUCACACACAUGGAUGAGGGUUUGCCAACUGUAUUAGUCAAAGUAGGGCCUGGCUUGGAGGGGCUCCCAUGCCCCUCUGGGAAUGUUCUAGAACAUGGGGCAUUACCCAAGAGACAGAGCCUGGGAUGGUGUUACUCAGGUCAAAGGUCUGAGCGUGGGGGGCCAUAUAAAUGAGUGGUGGGGCGGUGUGUAUAGAUGCAGGAGGAGAGGUGCUUGGAGAGCAGGAGUGCUGCUACCAGGAGAGAUGGUUCCCAAAGGGAGAGACCCAGAUGCCAAGCCCUUCUCUUUUUCCUCUGCCCAGGGUCCCUUCUGAAUCUGCAAAUCAGCUGCUGCUUCUCCUCCUCCUUUGCCUCCUUCUUCAAAUCUUUUCAUCACAAAAAUCUCAAAUAUAUACCUAAGUAGAGAGAACAGUAAAAUGAACCCCCAUGUACCCAUCACCAUUAUCCACCUUGAAAAAUGACCAACACCAUCCAAUCUCCUUCCACACACCCUCCCCUUCCUCAGAUGAUUAUUGAAAUUACCUCAUACUUUUUAAAAAAUAAAUUUACUUGUUUAUU
Molecule: long non-coding RNA, 1777 nt
Organism: Mesoplodon densirostris (Blainville's beaked whale)
Lineage: Eukaryota; Metazoa; Chordata; Mammalia; Artiodactyla; Ziphiidae
Exons: 3
Source: RefSeq, a predicted model, not a curated record